This 355-nucleotide ribosomal RNA is filed under the name uncultured Leptolinea sp. Its description in RNAcentral is "bacterial SSU rRNA". It matches the Rfam family "Bacterial small subunit ribosomal RNA", at positions 1013 to 1382 of the family's 1533-position model. The record is from RNAcentral. Lineage: Bacteria; Bacillati; Chloroflexota; Anaerolineae; Anaerolineales; Anaerolineaceae.
GGACCCUUCCGGGAGGCUUGCACAGGUGCUGCAUGGCUGUCGUCAGCUCGUGUCGUGAGAUGUUCGGUUAAGUCCGCUAACGAGCGCAACCCUCGUCGUGUGUUAUACGUGUCACACGAUACUGCCGGUAUCAAGCCGGAGGAAGGUGGGGAUGAUGUCAAGUCAGCAUGGCCUUUAUAUCCUGGGCUACACACACGCUACAAUGGCAGAUACAAUAGGUUGCGAAACCGCGAGGUGGAGCCAAUCCUCAAAGUCUGUCUCAGUUCAGAUUGUAGGCUGCAACUCGCCUGCAUGAAGUUGGAGUUGCUAGUAAACGCAGGUCAGCUAUACUGCGUUGAAUACGUUCCCGGGGUUU